ACAGAGGCAGCAAGGCAUUCACAAAAAAGACAAGACAUGAGAAAACACGAGCCAGGCGACACGUGUUUGCCCACUGGGGAAUAUCUACAAAUUUCCAUCAGGGCUCCUCAACGACUGUCAGAUCAGCAGCAACAAAGCAGUCCGGUUUUCGGGAGGUGCUGGAGCUGGACACGUGCAGCUCAUCAGGCUCAUCAGCUGGGGAGUAUAUGAAGAGGUUGUGCCUGCACUUCGUUGCCUGAGCGUUUGCCUUUGCGGUGCAUUACUUCUGGAUCCAACGAAGUUGACCAGAGACUUGGAGUGAAUCAGUUUGAACCGAUUCCCGGAUUGAACCUUUGGGCUGACUCUUCUGUGAGCCUCCAGCUGAGCGAAUCCUGUCCACCCUCCCAGCACCUCCUAUUCGGUCCGUCCCGACCACCACAGCGGGUGAAGCUGACCACUCUCUCUCACACCCCAGGAUUUCUGACUGUCCUCCCUGGCGGAUUUACCCGUGCUUACCUCCAGAGGAUUCCACUCCCGUUUUCUGAUUCCCAGGAUUAAAAUAAAUAUUUGUCUAAAC
Long non-coding RNA from Girardinichthys multiradiatus, 556 nucleotides. RefSeq lists it as uncharacterized. The transcript has 4 exons. The record is from RefSeq and is a predicted model, not a curated record. Lineage: Eukaryota; Metazoa; Chordata; Actinopteri; Cyprinodontiformes; Goodeidae.